AGCGGCGGACGGGUGAGUAACGCGUGGGUAACCUACCCUGUACACACGGAUAACAUACCGAAAGGUAUGCUAAUACGAGAUAAUAUAUUUUAAUCGCAUGGUUAAGAUAUCAAAGCUCCGGCGGUACAGGAUGGACCCGCGUCUGAUUAGCUAGUUGGUGAGGUAAUGGCUCACCAAGGCGACGAUCAGUAGCCGACCUGAGAGGGUGAUCGGCCACACUGGAACUGAGACACGGUCCAGACUCC
RNAcentral lists this ribosomal RNA (245 nucleotides) under uncultured Peptostreptococcaceae bacterium. RNAcentral's name for it is "partial 16S ribosomal RNA". It matches the Rfam family "Bacterial small subunit ribosomal RNA", at positions 94 to 339 of the family's 1533-position model. The record is from RNAcentral. Lineage: Bacteria; Bacillati; Bacillota; Clostridia; Peptostreptococcales; Peptostreptococcaceae.